AUGCAAAUCUCUGCAGACAUAAGACAGACAACAACACAACGUGGAAUUAAUGAAUUAAUGUCACCAAAAAGCACCUUAAUAAAAGGAGGGAGGUUACACAAGGAAACUGAACUACAAAAACCCUUUAUCUCUCUGUAUCUCUGUAUCUCUGUCUCUCUCUGUAUCUCUGUCUCUCUGUUUCUCUCUGUAUCUCUGUCUCUCUGUAUCUCUGUCUGUCUCUCUCUGUCUCUCUGUCUCUAUCUGUCUCUCUGUAUCUCUCUGUCUCUCUGUAUCUCUCUGUAUCUCUCUGUAUCUCUCUGUCUCUCUGUAUCUCUGUCUCUCUGUAUCUCUGUCUCUCUGUUUCUCUCUGUCUCUCUGUCUCUCUCUGUCUCUCUGUAUCUCUGUAUCUCUGUAUCUCUGUCUCUCUCUGUCUCUCUGUAUCUCUGUCUCUCUGUAUCUCUGUCUCUCUGUGUCUCUGUAUCUCUCUGUCUCUCUCUGUAUCUCUGUCUCUCUGUCUCUCUCUUUAUCUCUCUGUAUCUCUGUCUCUCUCUGUAUCUCUGUCUCUCUCUUUAUCUCUCUGUAUCUCUGUCUCUCUGUAUCUCUCUUUAUCUCUGUCUAUCUCUGUCUCUCUCUGUAUCUCUGUCUCUCUCUGUAUCUCUCUGUCUCUCUGUCUCUCUCUGUCUCUCUGUAUCUCUGUCUCUCUCUGUACCUCUUUAUCUCUCUGUAUCUCUGUCUCUCUCUGUAUCUCUGUCUCUCUCUGUAUCUCUGUCUCUCUCUUUAUCUCUCUGUAUCUCUGUAUCUCUGUCUCUCUCUGUAUCUCUGUCUCUCUGUCUCUCUCUUUAUCUCUCUGUAUCUCUGUCUCUCUCUUUAUCUCUCUGUAUCUCUGUCUCUCUCUUUAUCUCUCUGUCUCUCUCUUUAUCUCUUUAUCUCUCUGUAUCUCUGUCUCUCUCUUUAUCUCUCUGUAUCUCUGUCUCUGUCUCUCUCUGUAUCUCUGUCUAUCUCUGUCUCUCUGUCUCUCUCUGGAUCUCUGUCUCUCUCUGUAUCUCUGUCUCUCUCUGUAUCUCUGUCUCUCUCUUUAUCUCUCUAUAUCUCUGUCUCUCUCUGUAUCUCUGUCUCUCUGUUUCUCUCUGUAUCUCUGUCUCUCUCUGUAUCUCUGUCUCUCUCUGUAUCUCUGUAUCUCUGUCUCUCUCUGUAUCUCUGUCUCUCUCUGUAUCAAUUCAAUUCAAUGCAAGGGCUUUAUUGGCAUGGGAAACAUGUGUUAACAUUGCCAAAGCAAGUGAGGUAGAUAAUAUAUAA
This 1275-nucleotide long non-coding RNA is filed under the name Oncorhynchus kisutch (coho salmon). Its description in RNAcentral is "lncRNA (ENSOKIG00005038317.1)". The record is from RNAcentral. Lineage: Eukaryota; Metazoa; Chordata; Actinopteri; Salmoniformes; Salmonidae.